Non-coding RNA from Ornithorhynchus anatinus (platypus), 136 nucleotides. The record is from Rfam. Lineage: Eukaryota; Metazoa; Chordata; Mammalia; Monotremata; Ornithorhynchidae.
CCCCUCUCAGGGUUGCACCUGGAGUUUCCAGUACUCUACCAGUCUCGAUUACGGGAGGGAGAGUCAAGCAGAGGCAUACCCAUUCCGUUCCUAGCUUGGCCAUUGGCUAGCGAGUGGAAGGCAAUCUGCUACAAGU